This 271-nucleotide ribosomal RNA is filed under the name uncultured bacterium. Its description in RNAcentral is "partial 16S ribosomal RNA". It matches the Rfam family "Bacterial small subunit ribosomal RNA", at positions 524 to 794 of the family's 1533-position model. The record is from RNAcentral.
GACAGAGGGUGCAAACGUUGUUCGGAAUUACUGGGCGUAAAGGGCGUGUAGGCGGCCAUGCAAGUCGGGUGUGAAAUCCCGCGGCUCAACCGUGGAAGUGCAUCCGAAACUGCGCGGCUCGAGUCUCGGAGAGGAAGGUGGAAUGCUUGGUGUAGAGGUGAAAUUCGUAGAUAUCAAGCGGAACACCGGUGGCGAAGGCGACCUUCUGGACGAUGACUGACGCUGAGACGCGAAAGCGUGGGGAGCAAACAGGAUUAGAAACCCUGGUAGU